Molecule: ribosomal RNA, 350 nt
Filed under: uncultured bacterium
Lineage: Bacteria
Description: partial 16S ribosomal RNA
Rfam family: Bacterial small subunit ribosomal RNA
Source: RNAcentral
CCUACGGGGGGCAGCAGUGAGGAAUAUUGGUCAAUGGGCGCAAGCCUGAACAAGCCAAGUCGCGUGAGGGAUGACGGUCCUAUGGAUUGUAAACCUCUUUUGUCGGGGAGCAAGGCACGCCACGUGUGGCGGGAAGGAGAGUACCCGAAGAAAAGGCAUCGGCUAACUCAGGGCCAGCAGCGUCGGUAAGACGGAGGAUGCGAGCGUAAUCCGGAUUUAUUGGGGUUAAAGGGUGCGUAGGCGGAAGGUUAAGGCAGCGGUCAAAUGGCGGUGCUCAACACCGGCCUGCCGUUGAAACUGGUCUUCUUGAGUGAGCGAGAAGUAUGCGGAAUGCGUGGUGUAGCGGUGAA